CAAUAUGUUCACUUGUUAAUGCUGAAAAAUCUUGUGAU
Molecule: small RNA, 38 nt
Filed under: Romboutsia ilealis
Lineage: Bacteria; Bacillati; Bacillota; Clostridia; Peptostreptococcales; Peptostreptococcaceae
Description: CRISPR spacer
Source: RNAcentral